This 512-nucleotide ribosomal RNA is filed under the name uncultured bacterium. RNAcentral describes it as "bacterial SSU rRNA". It matches the Rfam family "Bacterial small subunit ribosomal RNA", at positions 14 to 518 of the family's 1533-position model. The record is from RNAcentral.
CGAUCUGGCUCAGGAUGAACGCUAGCGGCAGGCUUAACACAUGCAAGGUCGAGGGGCAGCGCGAGUAGCAAUACUUGGCGGCGACCGGCGCAAGGGUGCGUAACGCGUGAGCAACAUGCCCGUAUCAGGGGGAUAAUCCAGGGAAACUUGGUCUAAUACCCCAUAGUAAUUUUGUAAGGCAUCUUAUAAGAUUUAAAGCUUUGGUGGAUACGGAUUGGCUCGCGUGACAUUAGCUGGAUGGUAAGGUAACGGCUUACCAUGGCUAUGAUGUCUAGGGGUUCUGAGAGGAAGGUCCCCCACACUGGAACUGAGACACGGUCCAGACUCCUACGGGAGGCAGCAGUGAGGAAUAUUGGACAAUGGAUGGAAAUCUGAUCCAGCCAUGCCGCGUGAAAAGGAAGAAGGUCCUAUGGAUUGUAAACUUCUUUUGUAUUGGGAGCAAUAAGGCCUACGAGUAGGUUGAUGAGAGUACCAUACGAAUAAGCACCGGCUAACUCCGUGCCAGCAGCCGC